GCAGUAUGCUUUGAGCAUAGCAAUAUUCAACAUCUAGCAAAAUGUUUGAGAAGGGCUAUAAGAACUUGGUCAUACCUCAGCCGCGGAAGUGGGCCUGCUGUGUUGUUACCUGGGGUCUGAGGUCUUUAGUUCGCAGCCCGGAAUUUACGGUGGUGAUUCUCCUCUGUUUUGUCCUAUUUUAAGAGUUGACGGAAUGGAAAGUAAGCGGAACCCGUGAGACAAUGCGUAGGUAAUUACGAAAUGGCCAAAAGUGUAACAGUAUUUUCAUUUUGCUCACUGAGUUUUUGCCAAGCAAUCUAAUUAAUUUAAUGAUCCCUGUCCCUGGCUGCUCGCUAAUCACCAUCACACACUACUUCCUUCAUAUUUGGCUUGCAAACGGUUACUAAUUGUUGCUGCAUAUUGCGUUGUACAGCUGGUGAUGGCAGCUGCCAUGGCCCUGAGAUGGAGAGACAGCUGUUUUUAAAAGGAGACUUCCCUCCCAGACCUCUAAAACAUCUGGAAAAGUGUGGCAUUGAAACUGAGUUGCUGAAUGUGAAAACUUACCAGAUAUGUGCACGGGCUAAAGGGAAGGGGUCUGCAAACACAAAGCUUAAAAGUAGGCACUGCAAUCGGGAUGGAAGAGACUCACUACUGUGCCUUUAAAGCAUGAGUCCUGGAUGUUUGCCAUAAAAAAAUGCCUAUUUCCCCUAAUUCCCUGUUGACCGCUUGGCAUGGCAAAAUCUUUAACGCUCUGCACAACAGAGCACACCUCCUAAUUUGAUCAAACUAACAACUCGUAUUACUUUUGCUUCAGCGUGUCAGACAUAAUUAAAAAACCUUUCUACGAGAAAGGGUUCAGGAUCAGGCAGCAAGAUCUAGCUGGCUGCAGACAAGAAAUCAGUAGCAUGAAAGCACCAAAAAGCCUUAGAAAUCCAUGGAAACAAUUGCAAUCCUUAAAAAAAUAUGUAUAUAUAAUAAUAAUAAAAAAAAAUCAGAAUCUCAUUUCCUCCUGAACAUUUUGUGACUGUGAUUGUUACAAGCAACCUAUUUUUUUCCCCUCCGUGUUUGUUUAGUGUAUUUAACAGCACAAGCGUACAGGCCAUUGUUUUGCUAGUGGUCAGCAAUGCUUAUCUCCUGAUCUCGCCCAACGCUAUCGCUGGCAGGCUGCUCUGCAGUCCUUGGAUUAGCACUCAUCUUGGACUCUGUGAGAGGCUGCAAACCAGCAGCAGCAGCAAAGCAGGACUCAACAGGCAGCACUGAGCAGGCACAUGAGGACACAGAAAGGAAAUGGCUGAGCUCAGACAAGGUUAGCGCGAUUGGAGCGGCAGUCACUCCAAAUGAGCCCUGAGAAAGAAGCCUACAAGCAGAAAAAAAAAAAAGCUGAUAUUCCAGCUCCAGUCACAACAGGUUCUUCAAACAGAUUUACCCUUUUCCUGCCAUGACUGGCUUUCACAUCCACUUCUUCUGCCUUGUUGCUUCAGCUCCAGCAUGGUGAUAACCACACUGCUGAGAGAAACACCGCUUCGCUCCCAGCUCAGUGCCCUAUCCCAUAGUGAUGACUGCAACGACUUGCAGGUGGAGCAUGCUUGGCCACCACCUGGAGAAAGCCCAGCAGCUGCACGGAGAUGGAGCACAUCCAGUCAGCAUGGACUUUCAAGGGAUGACUUGGAGAUGGCUUUUUGUCUGGUAAACACCAAGACCCAUAAAAAUGUCAAGAGACAUAAACGCUAGAUUUCCAGUUUUUGUGGUAUGAGGCAGAUGAAGUGUCUCAGACACCAAAUAAAUAAAUAAAUACAUAAAAAU
Oxyura jamaicensis (ruddy duck) is the source of this 1782-nucleotide long non-coding RNA. RefSeq lists it as uncharacterized. The record is from RefSeq and is a predicted model, not a curated record. The transcript has 2 exons. NCBI's taxonomy places the organism in Eukaryota, Metazoa, Chordata, Aves, Anseriformes, Anatidae.